Molecule: ribosomal RNA, 253 nt
Filed under: uncultured bacterium
Lineage: Bacteria
Description: partial 16S ribosomal RNA
Rfam family: Bacterial small subunit ribosomal RNA
Source: RNAcentral
UACGUAGGGGGCAAGCGUUGUCCGGAAUCAUUGGGCGUAAAGAGCGUGUAGGCGGCUCGAUAAGUCCUCUGUGAAAGUCCAGGGCUCAACCCUGGAAGGCCGGUGGAAACUGUCGGGCUAGAGUCCGGAAGAGGCGAGUGGAAUUCCCGGUGUAGCGGUGAAAUGCGCAGAUAUCGGGAGGACCACCAAUGGCGAAGGCAGCUCGCUGGGACGGUACUGACGCUGAGACGCGAAAGCGUGGGGAGCAAACAGG